UGGGAACGAGAAGAUACUCGUGGAGGCGUC
RNAcentral lists this non-coding RNA (30 nucleotides) under Homo sapiens (human). Lineage: Eukaryota; Metazoa; Chordata; Mammalia; Primates; Hominidae. The record is from RNAcentral.